CUCCCUUUGGGACACAGAGAGACACAUUUAUAAUAAAAGCAUAAAUGCAAUGUGUUCAUCAUAUAAAGCGAUCACGUGUCUUCGGAAAAUUUGGACUAAACCGCUCAAUUCAUAUCCAUUCUUUUAAUGAACUUUUUGAAGCGUCAAAGCGUCAAUGGAGGAACGGAUCUUUGUUUGUGUUCCAAAGAUGAACGAAAUUAUUACGGGUUUGGUCGGAACGACAUGAGGAAUUUUUGUCUUACAAUGUGAUCUCUGACACUUACCUCCACAACUUCCCCAAGAUCUUCUACACCAUCCCAUUUAUCGUCAUAGGCAUCAAACAAGGACUGAAACAGUCGACCUGACGCAUCUUUCAUUACUAUUAAACAUCAAGCACAAUAAAGCAUGUCAGUAUUCCUGUGUAUAAUCUCCUGCACAAGUCUCAUAGUCAAGACUGAGCCAACCUGUGACAGCGUUGAGGUACGCUUUAAGGUCCUUGUAUAUUCUGUAUCCAUCGCUCUGCAAUAGAAACCACAAGGAAAAAAUAGGUCAACUUUUGAUCUUCAAAGCUGUUACUUUGGAGACCGUAGAUGUAAUGUACCUGUUGAAAUUGGAGGUUCAUUACACACUGCUCAAAGUGCUCAUCUUUGGUCUCCUCAGAUUUG
This is a non-coding RNA of Pimephales promelas (fathead minnow), 644 nucleotides long. Lineage: Eukaryota; Metazoa; Chordata; Actinopteri; Cypriniformes; Leuciscidae. The record is from RefSeq and is a predicted model, not a curated record.